Molecule: ribosomal RNA, 263 nt
Filed under: uncultured bacterium
Lineage: Bacteria
Description: partial 16S ribosomal RNA
Rfam family: Bacterial small subunit ribosomal RNA
Source: RNAcentral
GUCCUAGCCGUAAACGGUGAUCACUAGGUGUUGGAGGCAUCGACCCCUCCAGUGCCGCAGCUAACGCAUUAAGUGAUCCGCCUGGGGAGUACGGCCGCAAGGUUGAAACUCAAAGGAAUUGACGGGGGCCCGCACAAGCGGUGGAGCAUGUGGUUUAAUUCGACGCAACGCGAAGAACCUUACCCAGACUUGACAUGCAUUGGACAGGUGUGGAAACACACCCUCCCUUCGGGGCCGAUGCACAGGUGCUGCAUGGCUGUCGU